Molecule: ribosomal RNA, 497 nt
Filed under: uncultured bacterium
Lineage: Bacteria
Description: partial 16S ribosomal RNA
Rfam family: Bacterial small subunit ribosomal RNA
Source: RNAcentral
GACGAACGCUGGCGGCGUGCCUAAUACAUGCAAGUAGAACGCUGAAGAGAGGAGCUUGCUCUUCUUGGAUGAGUUGCGAACGGGUGAGUAACGCGUAGGUAACCUGCCCUGUAGCGGGGGAUAACUAUUGGAAACGAUAGCUAAUACCGCAUAACAAUGGAUGACACAUGUCAUUUAUUUGAAAGGGGCAAUUGCUCCACUACAAGAUGGACCUGCGUUGUAUUAGCUAGUAGGUGAGGUAAUGGCUCACCUAGGCGACGAUACAUAGCCGACCUGAGAGGGUGAUCGGCCACACUGGGACUGAGACACGGCCCAGACUCCUACGGGAGGCAGCAGUAGGGAAUCUUCGGCAAUGGGGGCAACCCUGACCGAGCAACGCCGCGUGAGUGAAGAAGGUUUUCGGAUCGUAAAGCUCUGUUGUAAGUCAAGAACGGGUGUGAGAGUGGAAAGUUCACACUGUGACGGUAGCUUACCAGAAAGGGACGGCUAACUACGUG